UGCAUAAGCAUUUUGAGAUUAUCUGUGCGAUGAGCUGAACGAAGCGAGACCCUGUAGGUCCGCUCGUGUGGAGAUUGGAGGAGAACACAAGGCAGUCCUCAUGGAAACGGCGUACCAUCAAGAUUUUCCCUGGUGGUAUGGCCAGUUUCCUCUCCCAGAAGAGACUCGCGGUUUUUAUGGGUUUGCCCAUAAGAAUGAAGAAGGCAACGUACGGUUCUUUGUACCAACGAGCGUACCUACAGGGUCUCGCUUCGUGCCGCUCAUCGCGCAGAUAAUCUCAAAAUGCUUAUGCA
This is a non-coding RNA of Bodo saltans, 293 nucleotides long. Lineage: Eukaryota; Euglenozoa; Kinetoplastea; Eubodonida; Bodonidae. The record is from the annotation of a GenBank genome assembly.